RNAcentral lists this ribosomal RNA (439 nucleotides) under uncultured myxomycete. Its description in RNAcentral is "SSU rRNA". It matches the Rfam family "Eukaryotic small subunit ribosomal RNA", at positions 1230 to 1644 of the family's 1831-position model. Lineage: Eukaryota; Evosea; Eumycetozoa. The record is from RNAcentral.
ACACGAAUGAAAGACAAGCUGAAAGACUUUUCUCAAUGAUGUAAGUGGUGGUGCAUGGUCGUUCUUAGUUCGUGGAGUGGUUUGUCUGGUCUAUUCCGAUAACGAGCGAGACCCCGGCGUUCCUAAUAGGGGCAGCAGCCCGGCUUGCCUGCUCUCACGAGCGGGCUCGCUAGCAGCUGCCUCAAAAACAUUGCUUCUUAGACGUAUCAGAGCCGAUAAGGUUCUUGAAAUGGGUUAAUAACAGGUCAGUCAUGCCCUUAGAUGUUCUGGGCCGCACGCGCGUUACAAUGGCAUGCCUUAGAGAGUGCUCAAAAAGGGCGUAUCCAUGGCCUAACGGCCAUGGUAACCCCUAGUCCCUGCCUUGACUGGGACAGACUAUUGCAAUUAUUGGUCUCGAACGAGGAAUUUUUAGUAGUCGCAGGUCAUUAACCUGCGACGA